Long non-coding RNA from Armigeres subalbatus, 353 nucleotides. RefSeq lists it as uncharacterized. Lineage: Eukaryota; Metazoa; Arthropoda; Insecta; Diptera; Culicidae. The transcript has 2 exons. The record is from RefSeq and is a predicted model, not a curated record.
CCCCAAACAAUGCAUGACGAUGCAUGUAGCAAUGGCAGAGUAGAGUGAUGGUGAUUACAUGAGAUCGGCCCGUCUUUUCUAUCCAAAAUUCUGCAUGGCGGUGACAUUCAUCGCUCUGGUGGUGUGGUGACGUAGCAUCCCACCAUGGCCACUGAAUUACUGGAUCUCGGAGUUGCUGGCUUCCCGCCAGUAGUCAUGGACUUUCUGUUCCGGGCCAAUUCUAGCAGUCUACGUGGGAUACACGCACGACACGGACACCAUACAGUAGGAUAAGUACUAAAACUUAGAAUGUAAGUACACCUAGGAUAUAAGUAACACUUUAAUAAACAUCACCUACAGUUUUGCAUGUAAAA